CCGCUUUCUCCACUGGCUUCCAGUUGAAGCUCGCAUCCGCUACAAGACCAUGGUGAUUGCCUACGGAGCUGUGAGGGGAACGGCACCUCCAUACCUUCAGGCUCUGAUCAGGCCCUACACCCAAACAAGGGCACUGCGUUCAUCCACCUCUGGCCUGCUGGCCCCCCUACCUCUGAGGAAGCACAGUUCCCGCUCAGCCCAGUCAAAACUGUUCGCUGCUGUGGCACCCCAAUGGUGGAACAAGCUCCCUCACGACGCCAGGACAGCGGAGUCAGUCACCACCUUCCGGAGACACCUGAAACCCCACCUCUUUAAGGAAUACCUAGGAUAGGAUAAAGUAAUCCUUCUAACCCCCCCCUUAAAAGAUUUAGAUGCACUAUUGUAAAGUGGUUGUUCCACUGGAUAUCAUAAGGUGAAUGCACCAAUUUGUAAGUCGCUCUGGAUAAGAGCAUCUGCUAAAUGACUUAAAUGUAAUGUAAAUGUAAUUUUCUGGGGUACACGGAAAAGGUGCAAAUUAAAAGCGAGGGUCGACAUCUGCCUGAGAUCAGUUUCAUGAAGAAGGAUGAAAAGGUGAAGGCAUUCAAUACCACCUGGUAUCAAAAGUAUAGCUGGUUAACAGGGAGCCUUUCAUCAAGCCGCCUGUAUUGCGGCCUUGCAUGCGUUUUUGGGCAUGCAAGAAUUUGCUUUUAGAGGACAUGAGGAGAUGGAAAGUUCCGCCGACAAGGGCAACUACAAGGAGCUUCUAGAGCUAAGUCCCUCUCCUGUUCCCUGAUUAAGAGGUGAUGACUACUCCACUCCACUACCUUUGUCAACUUUCUCCUGACAUGAACUGAAGCCACGUCUCAUUCAAAUCCUGUCCUGCACUGGUCAAGUCUCUGAACACCUAAACUCAUGCCUCAUACCCUCAUUCAAUCACUGCUGUGAUCCCUUUCCCACACGGUGGAGACAAGAAUAUUGGGAAGGAUUUAGACCUUCACUGUCUCUGGUCCACACUCCAGUCCCGUUGGUGGCAGUAAUCACCUUAAAGUUGGUUGCCAAACCCAUAUAAAAUCCACAGAAGAAGAAUGCAUCGGUGGACUCUAAUCAAGUUGAAGAAACAUCUCAGGGAUGAUCAAUGGAUACAGGACGUACCAGAGCUCAAUUUCGAGUCUCAUAGCAAGGGGUCUGAAUACUUAUGUAAUUAAGAUGUGUUACAGCCGUGUGAAUAGCGGUGGAAAUGGCAUCUUCCAUGGAUCUGUUGGAGUGGUAGGCAAAUUGGAGUGGGUCAAGUCUGACUGGCAUGCUAGCCUUGAUGUGGGACAUGACCAGCCUCUCGAAGCACUUCAUGAUGACCGAUGUGAGCGCGAUGGGCCGACAGUCAUUUGGACAUGUCACCUUCUUUUUCUUGGGCACUAGGACGAUGGUGGUCUCCUUUAAAGCAGGUGGGGACUACUGCCUGGUACAUGGGCAGGUUGAAGAUGUCCAAGAAGAUGCCCACCAGCUGGUCAGCACACACUCUGAGGACGGGACCAGGGCUGUCAUCUGAGCCGGCAGCUUUGUGAGUAUGCACCCUUGAGAGUUUUCCUCACGUCAGCCUCGGAGAGCGAAAGCACCUGGGGCCGGUUGCACCAGUUGGUCGUAAGUGGGUCAUAACUUUAAUAAAAAUUAUGCCUGCACCACCUGGGCGUAAGCCCGCCUAUGAGCUACGCCUGGGCGUACAUUCUACACCUAGUAGAGAGCAGGCGUAGGGUUUUAAAUUGGAACUAUCUUCAUCAUGAUACGCACAGAAAAAAAAACAAUGUGCUUUUUUUUAAAAGGAUAGGAGUCUGGUGUUCAUAUUUCACAACCUCCGCAGGCUUUUGAGUCAAUAGCAAAAUAAUACAUUAUGGCAUGCUAAAUGUGUCUGAUCAGUGAGUGGUAGAUUAGCAAACUAAUAGAUCUCCGGCUACCCGGAUUAAGCACUAAAUAAACUUCAGUUAGUGCUAAACACGGCUGCUGGAAUCUUGACUAGAUCCAAAGAAUUUGAUCUUAUUACUCCAGUGCUAGCCUCUAUACACUGGCUUCCUGUUAAGGCUAGAGCUGAUUUCAAGGUUUUACUGUUAACCUAACAAAACAGUACAUGGGCUUGCUCCUACCUAUCUCUUAGAUUUGGUCCUGCCGUACAUACCUACACAUACGCUAUGGUCACAAGACACAGGCCUCCUUGUCCCUAGAAUUUCUAAGCAAACAGCUGGAGGCAGGGCUUUCUCCUAUAGAGCAACAUUUUUAUGGGAUGGUCUGCCUCAUGUGAGUGACGCAGACUCAGUCUCGACCUUUAAGUCUUUACUGAAGACUCAUCUCUUCAGUAGGUCCUAUGAUUGAGUGUAGUCUGGCCCAGGGGUGCGAAGGUGAACGGCAAGGCACUGGAGUGACGAACCGCCCUUGCUGUGUCUGCCUGGCCGGCUCCCCUUUCUCAACUGGGAUUCUCUGCCUCUGACCAUAUUACGGAGGCUGAGUCACUGGCUUACUAGUGUACCCCGACCCACCCCUGUCUGAGCCUCCAGUAUCUAUGCUGCAAUAGUCUAUGUGCCAGGGGGGCUAGGGUCAGUCUGUUAUACCUGGUGUAAUUCUCUUGUCUUAUCUGGUGUCCUGUGUGUAUUUAAGUAUGCUCCCUCUAAUUCUCUCCCUCCCUUCCUGGAGGACCUGAGCCCUAGGGUCAUGCCUCAGGACUACCUGGCCUGAUGACUUCUGGCUGUCCUCAGUCCACCUGGUCGUGCUGCUGCUCCAGUUUCAACGUUUCUGCCUGCGGCUAUGGAACCCUGCCCUGUUCACUGGAUGUGCUACCUUGUCCCAGACCUGCUGUUUUCGUCUCUCUCUUUCUCUCUCUCUAACACACCUGCUGUCUCGAACUCUGAAUGCUCGGCUAUGAAAAGCCAACUGACAUUUACUCCUGAAGUACUGACCUGUUGCACCCUCUACAACCACUGUGAUUAUUAUUUGACCCUGCUGGUCAUCUAUGAACGUUUGAACAUCUUGAAGAACAAUCUGGCCUAAAUGGCCAUGUACUCCUAUAAUCUCCACUCGGCACAGCCAGAAGUGCUGGCCACCCCUCAGAGCCUGGUUCCUCUCUAGGUUUCUUCCUAGGUUCCUGCCUUUCUAGUGAGUUUUUCCUAGCCAGUGUGCUUCUACAUCUGCAUUGCUUGCUGUUUGGGGUUUUAGGCUGGGUUUCUGUAUAGCACUUUGUGACAUCUGCUGAUGUAAAAAAGGUUUUAUAAAUACAUUUGAUUGAUUCAUAGAUUAUCUACCACCAGCCUAAUUGUAACCAAAUAUCCAAACAGAGAUUCAGUGAAAACAAAAAUCUGACAUUGAUUGAUUUAUCUAGAGGAGUCCCCACCCUAGUCUCAAAGCCAAAUAAAAUGGUACUGAAAUUAUAGUCGAUAACACACGGCUAUUGCUUUAAAUGAUUUAAAAUGGUUGGAUGACUGGGAGUUUCAGUAAGCAACAAUUUGAUACAUGACUUCAAUGGUAUUAGCUUACUUUAUUCCAAUAUUAUGGUCAUUCAGUGAUAUUAAUUCCCACAGUAAUUAUUUAUUGAUCCAUCCAGUUGCGGUUAAGAAAACGUGCAUGCAUAGUGGUGGGCUUUGCCAAGUGAUGGGUGGAUGAAUCUUUUAACACAUUUCAAUCAGUAUUCUCGAAACAAUCCUACAGCAUUGAGUCUGCCUCCUCUGUCCAGCUCCUCACUAUUCUCUGUGUUGGUGUCUCCCUCUUGAGUUGCUGGUUGUAGGCGGGGAGUAGGUACAGAAAGACCUGAUCUGAUUGGCCAAAAUGGGAGGUGGGGGAAGGCAUUACACAUGUCACAAUGUUUGUCUAUACAUGGUCAAGCACUCUAGAUCAUCUUGUGGAGCAGGAUACAUGUUGGUGAUAUUAUCUGAUACAUUUUUUUUAGACAGGCUUUGUUAAAGUCACCCGCGACAAUAAAGAUUUCUUCCGGGGGAGAGGGGGCGGAGCUGUUGUAGGAGGAAUCAUGGAACAAGAACAGGAAUAUUGGGACACAGAAACGUGGAUUUCUGAGGAGGAAUGGAGGUGGAAAAAAAGGAAGAAGAGGUUGAAGAGAAUGAGGAAAGCAGAGGUUGGAUUUGAAUCUGAGGAAGAUGGCGAUAAAAAUGGAGCUGGGGUGUUGAAGAAGAUUGAUGUGAAGUGCAAACAGAGUGAGCUGUGAGCCAGACCGAGUUCUGGGGGGGAAACGGAAGUGAAUGAGGGACGAGUUAAGUGAGGUGGAAGGUGUGGUGAAUAGCUUGGAACCCGAGUCAUGUUAGGAUAUAUCAGUUAUCCUGUUAGAACUUUUGUACCAAAUCUACUGCAUUGUUUUAGGUGCAACGUUUAUGGUCAUGUCGCAACAGUGUGUAGGAGGGAGAUUCCAAGAUGUGGGAAGAGUGCAGAAUGACAUGGGACAGAGGAGUGUGUAGUUUCGGUGGAUAAAGUUGUGUGUCAACUGUAGGGGUGCCCAUGUUGCUGGGGAUCGGAAGUGUCCAGUGCGAGAGAGGCAGGUUGAAGUGGCCAUAGUCAGAGUAAUGCAGUGCAGAAGGUGUCGUAUGCUGAGGCUGUGAAGAAAGUUGAGGAGGAUGGAUCAAGAGUGAGGGAUCCCAAGAGGAUUCCAGUGAGUAGUAGAUUUGGGCCAGCCUAGGGGGAUAGGCCAACGAGUGAUUUAUGCUUCAAUAAGGUUGGCUUGGCAUCAUAGCAAUGGUUAUCAACUGUACUGCAGAAAUGGAAUGUAAAUCACAGAAAAAUAGAUGUUGUGGUGGCUGCUGCAGAGAAGUAUUUGGGUAUAUGAGAUGUGACUUCAGAGUUACAGGAUGUGUUGAGUGGUGGCUGUUUUAUUUGUGUUUAAAGAAAAGCGGGAGACUUUUAAUUUCAUGUUUUAAGUAUCCCUAUAUUUCUGUUGUUACGGGGCUAUCACUCUGUUUAUAGUGCGCCUGCGCAGCAGUCUUGUUGUUGAUUAACCUGGCCUGAGUGCAAUGGCAACCAUGUAGUGUGCUAAUACGGUUUAGUAAACGUUGUUAAACUGGAACCUUGUCGUUGUGUCAUUUCGAGUUAACAGUGGCUUCUCAUCCUCCCAGGCCAUUGGCAUGGUGCAGGAGCAGAUAGGGUCAAAGUAGUGUAAUCAGGUAGUGGGUUUAUAUUGAGUGUAGGUGGCAGCUGCAGAGAAGUACCUGGGUACCUGGGAGAUUUUAUUGCAGAAUAGUUAUGAUUUUUUUCUAUUUUUAUUUUAAAGUGGUAAAUAGGUGUAGGUUUGGUUGAUGCAAUAAUAUUUUUUUUGUAUCACAAAUGUAACGUGAUUGAACACGCUACCACAUAGUAGGUGGGGGCAUGCACAAACAAAAUGUGCGAGCGCCAUGAUACCAAAGAAGAAGAAGCAAAUUCUUGCUGGCUAAUAUUGUACACUUUGCUGAGUGCCACCUUGGUGUUUGCUAGUGGUUUUAUGUACACAGCUGCGAUGAUAAUAACGUAAGUGAAUUCCCUCAGUAUAUAGUGGGUUUAGCAUUUUAGCGUCAGGAACUCCAGGUUGGGUGAACAGAAGCUUGCUAUGUUUUGAACGUCGGUACAUCAGGAAUUGUUUAUGAGGAAACAUUACCCCUCCACCCAACUCUUACCAAAAGCCGCUGUUAGAUCCAUUUGGAAUAUGGUGAAGCCGUCAGGUUGAAUAGCAGAGUCGAACAUAUCACUUGCCAAUGUCCAAUCUCUAGACAACAAAGUGAACAAAAUUAGGGCACGUGUUGCCUUCCAGAGAGACAUCAGAGAUUGUAACAUUCUCUGUUUCAUGGAAACAUGGCUCACUCCGGAUAUGUUGUCAGAGUUGGUACAGCCACCUGGUUUCUUCAUGCUUUGCGCCGACAGAAACAAACAUCUCUCUGGUAAGAAGGGCGGGGGUGUAUGCCUUAUGAUUAAUGACUUGUGGUGUAAUCAUAACAACAUACAGGAACUCAAGUCCUUUUGUUCACCUGACCUAGAAUUCCUUACAAUCAAAUGCUGACCGCAUUAUCUUCCUAGAGAAUUCUCUUCGAUUAUAGUCACACCCAUGUAUACCCCCCCCCCCCAAAGCAGAUACUGUGACGGCCCUGAAAGAUCUUCACUGGACUCUAUGUAAACUGGAAACCAUAAACUGGAAACCAUAACCAUGUAUAUUGUAGCUGGGGAUUUUAACAAAGCUAAUCUGAGAACAAUUCUUCCUAAAUUCUAUCAGCAUAUCGAAUGCGCGACACAAUUUGGUAGCACUCUGGAUCACUGCUACUCUAACUUCCAAGAUGCGUACAAAGCCCUCCCCCGUCCUCUGUUCGGCAAAUCUGAUCAUGACUCCAUUUUAUUGCGCCUCUGCUACAGGCAAAAACUAAAACAGGAAACGCCGUGCUCAGGUCCAUCCAACGCUGGUCUGACCAAUCGGAUCCACGCUUCAAGAUUGCUUCGAUCACGUGGACUGGGAUAUGUUCCGCAUAGCCUCGGACAAUAAUAUUGAUGUAUACGCUGACUCUGUGAGCGAGUUUAUUAGCAAGUGCAUCGGAGAUGUGGUGCACACUGUGACUAUUAAAACGUUUCCUAACCAGAAACUGUGGAUUGAUGGCAGCAUUCGCUCUAAACUGAAAGCACGAACUACCGCUUUUAAACAUGGCAAGGCGACCGGAAACAUGACCGAAUACAAACAGUGUAGCUAUUCCCUCCGCAAGGCAAUCAAACAAGCAAAGCGUCAGUAUAGAGACAAAGUAGAGUCACAAUUCAACGGCUCAAACACGAGACGUAUGUGGCAAGGUCUACAGUCAAUCACGGAUUACAAAAAUAAUAAACAGCCCCGCCAUGGACACCGACGUCUUGCUCCCAGACAAAUUAAACAACUUCUUUGCUCGCUUUGAGGACAAUACAGUGCCACUGACACGGCCCACUACCAAAGCCUGUGGGCUCUCCUUCUAUGUGACCAACAUGAGUAAAACAUUUAAACGUGUUAACCCUUGCCAGGCCGACGGACCAGAUGGCAUCCUUAGCCGCGUCCUCAGAGCAUGCGCAGACCAGCUGGCUGGUGUGUUUACGGACAUAUUCAACCAAUCCCUAUCCCAGUCUACUGCCCCACAUGCUUCAAGAUGGCCACCAUUGUUCCUGUUCCCAAGAAAGCUAUGGUAACUGAUCUAAAUGACUAUCGCCCCGUAGCACUCACUUCUGUCAUCAUGAAGUGCUUUGAGAGACUAGUCAUGGAUCAUAUCACCUCCACCCUACCUGAUACCCUAGACCCACUCCAAUUAGCUUACCGCCCCAAUAGGUCCACUGACGAUGCAAUCGCCAUCACACUGCACACUGCCCUAUCUCAUCUGGACAAGAGGAAUAUCUAUGUAAGAAGGCUGUUCAUUGACUACAGCUCAGCAUUUAACACCAUAGUACCCUCCAAACUCAUCAUUAAGCUCGAGAACCUGGGUCUCGACCCCGCCCUGUGCAACUGGGUCAUGGACCUUCUGACGGGCCGCCCUCAGGUGCUGAAGGAGGGAAACAACAUCUCAACCCCGCUGAUCAUCAACACUGGGGCCCCACAAGGGUGCGUUCUCAGCCCUCUCCUGUACUCCCUGUUCACCCAUGACUGUGUGGUCAUGCACUCUUCCAACUCAAUCAUCAAGUUUGCAGAUGACACCACAGUGGUAGGCUUAAUUACCAACAACGACGAGACGGCCUACAGGGAGGAGGUGAGGGCCCUCGGAGUGUGGUGUCAGGAAAAUAACCUCUCACUCAACAUCAACAAAACAAAGGAGAUGAUCUUGGACUUCAGGAAACAGCAUAGGGAGCACCCCCACCCUGUCCACAUCGACGUGACAGUAGUGGAGAAGGUGGAAAGUUUUAAGUUCCUCGGCGUACACAUCACGGACAAAUUGAAAUGGUCCACCCAUGACAGCGUGGUGAGGAGGCUGGAGGCUGAAGAAAUUUGGGUUGUCAUCUAAAUCACUCACAAACUUUUACAGAUGCACGAUCGAGAGCAUCCUGUCGGGCUGUAUCACCGCCUGGUACGGCAACUGCACCACCCUUAACCGCAGACUCUCCAGAGGGUAGUGCGGUCUGCAUAACGCAUCACCGGGGGCGAACCACCUGCCCUCCAGGACAACAACCACCCAAGUCACUGCCUGUUCACCCCACUAUCAUCCAGAAGGCGAGGUCGGUACAGGUGCAUCAAAGCUGGGACCGAAAGACUGAAAAACAGCUUCUAUCUCAAGGCCAUCAGACUGUAAAACAGCCAUCACUAACACAGUGAGGCUGCUGCCUACAUACAGACUUGAAAUCAUUGGCCACUUUAACAAAUGGAUCACUAGUCACUUUAAUAAUGGCACUUUAAUAAUGUUUACAUGUCUUGCAUUACUCAUCUCAUAUGUAUAUACUGUAUUUUAUACCAUCUGUUGCAUCUUGCCUAUGCCGCUCAGUCAUUGCUCAUCCAUAUAUUUGUAUGUUUAUUUUCUUAUUCCAUUCCUUUACUUCGAUUUGUAAGUAUUAGGUAGUUGUUGUGGAAUUGUUAGAUUACUUGUUAGAUAUUGCUGCACUUUCGGAAGUAGAAGCGCAAGCAUUUCUCUUCACUCGCAAUAACAUCUGUUAACCAUGUGUAUGUGACCAAUAAAAUAACACUUGAUUUGAUUAGAUUUUUUUAAUGAUAUUUUUGCUGACCAGCUAGGUUUCCAUCCAAUUGGCGAUAGAUUUUCAUGGAAAUAUUCUAAAAUCCGCAUGUUUCCAUCCGAUUGAAUUGUUGAGGAUUAAUGGCCAUCUGUGAUGACGUAGUACACAUAUAAAGAACUUCUGCGGUUACAUUUCCAUGUACUGAAAAAAAAAAUAUGGGUUUCCAUCGCAUUUUCAACUCUACUGGUUUUGUCACAAUAACAGCUUGCCGAUACAGUGCAGGAAUAGCCUACUACACUACUACAUGAUGCAAUUAUUAUGGACAAAAUCAUUUUUAUUUGUCAAACCGCAGCUAAGCGGUUUAAAUUUUUUUUAUUUCACCUUUAUUUAACCAGGUAGGCUAGUUGAGAACAAGUUCUCAUUUACAACUGCGACCUGGCCAAGAUAAAGCAAAGCAGUUCGAUACAUACAACAACACAGAGUUACACAUGGAAUAAACAAACAUACAGUCAAUAAUACAGUAGAAAAAAGUCUAUAUACAUUGUGUGCAAAUGAGGUAAGAUAAGGGAGGUAAGGCAAUAAAUAAGCCAUGGUGGCGAAGUAAUUACAAUAUAGCAAUUAAACACUGGAAUGGUAGAUGUGCAGAAGAGGAAUGUGCAAGUAGAGAUACUGGGGUGCAAAGGAGCAAGAUAAAUAAAUAAAUAAAUACAGUAUGGGGAUGAAGUAGAUGGAUGGGUUAUUUACAGAUGGGCUAUGUACAGGUGCAGUGAUCUGUGAGCUGCUCUGACAGCUGGUGCUUAAAGCUAGUGAGGGAGAUAUGUGUCUCCAGCUUCAGUGAUUUUUGCAGUUCGUUCCAGUCAUUGGCAGCAGAGAACUGGAAGGAAAGGCGGCCAAAGGAGGAAUUGGCUUUGGGGGUGACCAGUGAGAUAUACCUGCUGUAGCGCGUGCUAUGGGUGGGUGCUGCUAUGGUGACCAGUGAGCUGAGAUAAGUCGGGGCUUUACCUAGCAAAGACUUGUAGAUGACCUGGAGCCAGUGGGUUUGACGACGAGUAUGAAGCGAGGACCAGCCAACGAGAGCGUACAGGUCGCAGUGGUGGGUAGUAUAUGGGACUUGGUGACAAAACGGAUGGCACUGUGAUAGACUGCAUCCAAUUUGUUGAGUAGAGUGUUGGAGGCUAUUUUAUAAAUGACAUCACCGAAGUCGAGGAUCGGUAGGAUGGUCAGUUUUACGAGGGUAUGUUUGGCAGCAUGAGUGAAAGAGGCUUUGUUGCGAAAUAGGAAGCAGAUUCUAGAUUUCAUUUUGGAUUGGAGAUGUUUAAUGUGAGUCUGGAAGGAGAGUUUACAGUCUAACCAGACACCUAGGUAUUUGUAGUUGUCCACAUAUUCUAAGUCAGAACCGUCUAGAGUAGUGAGGCUGGACGGGCGGGCAGGUGCGAGCAGCGAUCGGUUGAAGAGCAUGCAUUUAGUUUUACUUGCAUUUAAGAGCAGUUGGGGGCCACGGAAGGAGAGAUGUAUGGCAUUGAAGCUCGUCUGGAGGUUAGUUAACACAGUGUCCAAAGAAGGGCCAGAAGUAUACAGAAUGGUGUCGUCUGCGUAGAGGUGGAUCAGAGAAUCACCAGCAGCAAGAGCGACAUCAUUGAUGUAUACAGAGAAGAGAGUCAGCCCAAGAAUUGAACCCUGUGGCACACCCAUAGAGACUGCCAGAGGUCUGGACAACAGGCCCUCCGAUUUGACACACUGAACUCUAUCAGAGAAGUAGUUGGUGAACUAGGUGAGGCAAUCAUUUGAGAAACCAAGGCUGUUGAGUCUGCCGAUAAGAAUGUGGUGAUUGACAGAGUCGAAAGCCUUGGCCAGGUCGAUGAAUACGGCUGCACAGUAUUGUCUCUUAUUGAUGGUGGUUAUGAUAUCGUUUCGGACUUUGAGCAUGGCUGAGGUGCACCCAGCUCUGAAACCAGAAAUGGUCGGUAAUCUGUUUGUUAACUUGGCUUUCGAAGACCUUAGAAAGGCAGGGUAGGAUAGAUAUAGAUCUGUAGGAGUUUGGGUCUAGAGUGUCUGCCCCUUUGAAGAUGUCACCAGAAUAAGACCAUCAAUAUUUUUUGGAAAGGAGCAUCAAGCUCAUCACCAUCCUUUGAAGUUAAUUAUAACUUAUUUCAUCUGAAGCCUAAUUUACAUUUUAGUCAUUUAGCAGACACUCUUAUCCAGAGCAACUUACAGUAGUGAAUGCAUACAUUUCAUACAUUCAUGCAUUUCUUUUUAUUUUUUGCACUGGCCCCCCGUGGGAAUCGAACCCACAACCCUGGCGUUGCAAACACCAUGCUCUACCAACUGAGCCACUGCAUACUUUCCCGAUUGUGGGAGGACCACACAACACAUCAUUGCGUGACUCACAAGUUUACCUCAGAGGGUUGUACUAAGUUCUGCAGGUGUUCCACAAGUGUGUUACUAACCAGGUUUCCAUCCAACCUUUUUAUGCAAGUAAUGUACAUGUAGGAUAAAAAAAAUUCACGACAGGCUUGAUGGAAACAGCUAAUUUGUUGAUAAACUUUCGAAAGGUUGACAAAACAAAAUAUGCUAGACCAGGUGGGAUCUUUUUGUGUCUGUAAAAUGUAUUAUGCGUGAACUGACGGUGGAAACGCCUUUAUUCGCAAAUAUUGAUAUACAGUAAUAAUCAUCAUAUUGAAGUAGUCGAGAGACCUUGACCUCUUGGAAAAUGCACAAAAGCUAGAGAGCAGGAUCUGGUCUCUUACCACUAGUUUAUAUAACAGCAUCAAAAAGACAAAGGACUUCACCAUUCACCGGAAGAGGUCAGACAUGCAGAGCAGAAUGUCCAGCCAUACACCCACAGAGCACUCGAACGUCUUGGGACUGAGGAGUACCUUUGUUUGACAAGCCAGGACUUGAGGCAAGCUAGUAAGAGUGUGCCUGUCCUGCCCAGUUUGAACCAUGAAGUGGCGCUACACAGGUGUUAGCAAGAGUUCAAAACUUCUGAAACAGACGAGGCUCUUCUGACCAAUAGUGCCAAAGGCCAUUUCAACAAUCUUGACCUCAUGUGAGGACGAGAUAUCAAAUUAAUUACAAUCUGAUGUGUUCCUUGAGGUCAACGUGUUUGUAGGUGGUGUUUGGUUUCAGCUGAAGAACAUCUCCUUGUCAAGAUCCCCAACAAACACGUGAUUUUAGUUACUCUGCUCCGUGGUCCUGGAAUUCUCUCCUGAACAUUAAGAAAUGUGAUGAUCUAGUCACGUUGGUGGAGUUUAAUGUUGUGUUAGUGUAUGUAAGUCGUUUGGUCUGAAUCGUUGUUCCCCCUGCUGCUAUUGGAGCAGGUCUCUCUUGAAAAAGAGAUAUCUCAAUGAGAAAAAACCUGUAUUAAUUAAGGUAAAAAAAAAAAAAUACUUGUUUAUCUACUGUACAUCCACCACCUCUACUGAUAUUACACAAACCAUGGUGAAAGACCUGCAGGAGCUCACCCAGAACAUCCAAUCAUCUGACAUGGUGUCUGGCACCUUCCAGCUCACCACUGGACAGAUUUCUGAGAAAAGGAUCUGGUCUGUUGCUUGUAACAUCUAUCACAGUCCGCAAUUUAAGAUGGAGUUCCUCAGAAAAUAUCUGCAAAUCCAAAUCUUUAUAAAGCAGUUCUGCAUCACAAAGAGCUAGUCUCGGCCAUCUUGGGGUCAACCGGAGCAGUGUUAUACCUUACGCAAAAGAUAACUGUGUGGACAUUCUGCAUUAAUUAUUACCUAAGAUCAAGUCCUCUGAAAAGAUCUGAACAACCUGGAGGAUAUUGGCAUUUGUCCAUUGUAGGAGUGCUGACAGUCAAAAUAAACUAAAGCCCUCUUCUUCAGGCUCCUCCAUCUCUCCCACACCUACUUCAAAAUCAAGACAGUCAGAAUGGGACUUUGCCUUACCUGGUACUCCCAUCCCCACUGAGUUGCCUGCUCAGAGUGACUGCCCAAUUGUAAGAAACUUGAUCAUUUCAGGACUUGUUUCACACAGAGGACUUGCUUCCCGCACCUUUUUCAGACAAAGGCAAGCUGCUGGGGUGGGAGAAGACAAGAUGGUGGAAAACACACAGGAAGAUGGACCGGUUGCUUCUCAACCUGACGACCUCCAAUCCACAGUUAGAAAAUUGAGAAGAAGAAUUUCCACUAGGACCAUUCACAUUUUCAGAUAGGAUAAGAUAGCCACAGGUCCUCCUUCCUUUGACACCGCCUGAUGUACUGGGCCGUCCGCACCACCCUCUGUAGCACUUUGCAGUCGAGGGCGGUGCAGUUGCCAUACCAAGCGGUGAUGCAGCCAGUCAAAAUGGUCUCAAUGUUGUAGCUGUAGAUGCCAAAAAGAGCAAGGCCAGGUUAAGAUUUCUUGUGAAGUUUCCCAAGAUCAGCUUGAACCCAAAAGCCAUAAUGCAUGUAAAUCUUUCAGAAAUAAUACUUAUUUAAUUCAGUCUUCUUAGUAUUGCUUUUUUGCAAUUAAUACUGAACAAAAAAAUAAACGCAACAUGUAAAGUGUUUCAUGACCCAAUUUUCAUGAGCUGAAAUAAAAUAUUUUUCAUAUGCACAAAAAGCUUUUUUCGCUCAAAUUUCCAGCUAGGCAGGACAUUAUUUGGGAUGUACUGGACCGUCCGCACCACCCUCUGUAGGGCUUUGCGGUCGAGGGCAGUGCAGUUGCCAUACCAAGCAGUGUUGCAGCCAUUCAAGAUGAUCUCAAUGGUACAGCUGUAUAACUUUGAGGAUCUGAGGGCCCAUGCCAAAUCUUUUCAGCCUCCUGAGGGGGAAGAGGUACCCUCGUGCCCUCUUCACGACUGUACGAGUUUGUGUGGACCAUGUAAAGUUCUUAGUGACAGCCCAGUCAAUGUGGAUGGGGGUGUGCUCACCCCCCGUUCCCUGUAGUUCACGCUCUUACUAAUGUUGAGGGAUUGUUGUCCUGGCACCACACUGCCAGGUUAUGUGCCUUUUCCCACCAACCAGGGUUUCAAGAAAGUUGACAAAGACCUCUCUCUUCAAGAGUCCAUAGAGAGCCUCUGAACACUUCCGUGAAUGUGUACUUUACAGGUAAGUCCUACUGUUGCUUUGGCUGCUGCUCAGUCAAGACUAAGAUAUUAUCCUUUAAUCAGUUCAUUCAGAAAGACUUUGUACUUACCUCUGAACUGCUACAUAUGACAUACUGUACUCACCCAUACUAGAAUCUCUUUAUUUGCAGAGUCAAUGAAGCAUUCUCAGCUCCUUGGCUCCAGAGGGAGAGGGUUCAAAUCAAAUUAUUUUCCUCAUUAAAUGACAUCGCAUUUAUUUGUUGCCAUUCAUUUGCAUUUUACUUGGGGAUUGUGUGGUCACAUUACCACAACCUGUGAAAUAAUUUAAGCAGAUGAGAAUUUGUAAAAUGAUGCAUCUGUUCUGCUGAAAAAUUGAAAUAAAUAAAGUGAAUGUGCACAACUGUG
Molecule: long non-coding RNA, 14017 nt
Filed under: Salmo salar (Atlantic salmon)
Lineage: Eukaryota; Metazoa; Chordata; Actinopteri; Salmoniformes; Salmonidae
Description: lncRNA (ENSSSAG00000116028.1)
Rfam family: UnaL2 LINE 3' element (bases 416-469)
Source: RNAcentral